GAUGAAGAACGCAGCGAAAUGCGAUAAGUAAUGUGAAUUGCAGAAUUCAGUGAAUCAUCGAAUCUUUGAACGCACAUUGCGCCCUCUGGUAUCCCGGGGGGCAUGCCUGUUCGAGCGUCAUUAUAACCACUCAAGCUCUCGCUUGGUAUUGGAGUUCGCGAUCUCGCGGCUCCUAAAAUCAGUGGCGGUGCCUGUCGGCUCUACGCGUAGUAAUACUCCUCGCGAUUGAGUCCGGUAGGUUUACUUGCCAGCAACCCCCAAUUUUUACAGGUUGACCUCGGAUCAGGUAGGGAUACCCGCUGAACUUAAGCAUAUCAAUAAGCGGAGGA
RNAcentral lists this unclassified non-coding RNA (329 nucleotides) under soil metagenome. Its description in RNAcentral is "partial contains 5.8S ribosomal RNA, internal transcribed spacer 2, and large subunit ribosomal RNA". The stretch from base 1 to 120 matches the Rfam family "5.8S ribosomal RNA", at positions 35 to 154 of the family's 154-position model. The record is from RNAcentral.